GACAGAGGGUGCAAACGUUGUUCGGAAUUACUGGGCGUAAAGGGCGCGUAGGCGGCCCACUAAGUCAGACGUGAAAUCCCCCGGCUUAACCUGGGAACUGCGUCUGAUACUGGAGGGCUUGAGUAUGGGAGAGGGAUGUAGAAUUCCAGGUGUAGCGGUGAAAUGCGUAGAUAUCUGGAGGAAUACCGGUGGCGAAGGCGGCAUCCUGGACCAUUACUGACGCUGAGGCGCGAAAGCUAGGGGAGCAAACGGG
RNAcentral lists this ribosomal RNA (253 nucleotides) under uncultured bacterium. RNAcentral describes it as "partial 16S ribosomal RNA". It matches the Rfam family "Bacterial small subunit ribosomal RNA", at positions 524 to 776 of the family's 1533-position model. The record is from RNAcentral.